GAUGAACGCUGGCGGCGUGCCUAACACAUGCAAGUCGAGCGAAGCACUUACUUUAGAUUUCUUCGGAAUGACGAAGUUUGUGACUGAGCGGCGGACGGGUGAGUAACGCGUGGGCAACCUGCCCUGUACAGGGGGAUAACAGUUAGAAAUGACUGCUAAUACCGCAUAAGCCCACAGCUUCGCAUGAAGCAGUGGGAAAAACUCCGGUGGUACAGGAUGGGCCCGCGUCUGAUUAGCUAGUUGGUGAGGUAACGGCUUACCAAGGCGACGAUCAGUAGCCGACCUGAGAGGGUGACCGGCCACAUUGGGACUGAGACACGGCCCAAACUCCUACGGGAGGCAGCAGUGGGGAAUAUUGCACAAUGGGGGAAACCCUGAUGCAGCGACGCCGCGUGAGCGAUGAAGUAUUUCGGUAUGUAAAGCUCUAUCAGCAGGGAAGAAAGUGACGGUACCUGACUAAGAAGCCCCGGCUAACUACGUG
RNAcentral lists this ribosomal RNA (481 nucleotides) under uncultured bacterium. RNAcentral's name for it is "partial 16S ribosomal RNA". It matches the Rfam family "Bacterial small subunit ribosomal RNA", at positions 28 to 507 of the family's 1533-position model. The record is from RNAcentral.